CCUACGGGAGGCAGCAGUGGGGAAUAUUGCACAAUGGGGGAAACCCUGAUGCAGCAACGCCGCGUGAAUGAUGAAGUUUUUCGGUUUGUAAACCCCUAUCAUCAGAGAAGAUAAUGACGGUAUCUAACGAAUAAGCACCGGCUAACUACGUGCCAGCAGCCGCGGUAAUACGGAGGGGGCAAGCGUUACCCGGAUUUACUGGGUGUAAAGGGAGCGUAGGCGGGAGUGCAAGUCUGGUGUGAAAGGCGGGGGCUUAACCAUAGGACUGCAUUGGAAACUGUAAGGCUGGAGUGUAGGAGAGGUAAGUGGAAUUCUUAGUGUAGCGGUAAAAUGCGUAGAGAUCAAGAGGAACACUAGUGGCGAAGGCGACCUGCUAGAAUGUAACUGACGUUGAGGCGCGAAAGCGUGGGGAGCAAACAGGAUUAGAUACCCUGGUAGUC
Molecule: ribosomal RNA, 440 nt
Filed under: uncultured bacterium
Lineage: Bacteria
Description: partial 16S ribosomal RNA
Rfam family: Bacterial small subunit ribosomal RNA
Source: RNAcentral